This 301-nucleotide ribosomal RNA is filed under the name uncultured bacterium. RNAcentral's name for it is "partial 16S ribosomal RNA". It matches the Rfam family "Bacterial small subunit ribosomal RNA", at positions 509 to 807 of the family's 1533-position model. The record is from RNAcentral.
CAGUAGCCGCGGGAAUACGAAGGGGGCUAGCGUUGUUCGGAUUAACUGGGCGUAAAGGGCGCGUAGGCGGGUUUUUAAGUCAGAGGUGAAAUCCCAAGGCUCAACCUUGGAACUGCCUUUGAUACUGGAAGUCUUGAGUCCGGGAGAGGUGAGUGGAACUGCGAGUGUAGAGGUGAAAUUCGUAGAUAUUCGCAAGAACACCAGUGGCGAAGGCGGCUCACUGGCCCGGUACUGACGCUGAGGCGCGAAAGCGUGGGGAGCAAACAGGAUUAGAGACCCCCGUAGUCCAUGUCUCUUAUAC